CUAAUGGAGGAGCAACAAAAUCUGAGGAUUCUGAGAGGUCCUCUGAGGUGAAUGAUGAUGCUGAGCAGCAAGCUAGCUCUUAGGGUGCUACAUAGUUGAUAUGGCAAGUGAAAGCUGCUGGGAAAGUCAUACUAUAUAAAUCAUUAAGUGUUCAUACCUAGCUAUAGUUAGUUCUAACUCCUAGUACUAGUAUGGUUCUUCUGUUAAAAAUUUCUAUUAUCAGCUUAUGAUCGUGUUUACUGUUUUGUAUAUGCAAUGCAAUGCAAUUAUGAAUUGAGUAUGCCUUUGUUAGCUAAGUAAUUGAAACAGCCUCUGGUUUUUGUCCAAUCUAUAAUGGUAUGCCCCUUUGCAAUGCAAUAAAUAUCACGUUAAAAGUA
Lycium ferocissimum is the source of this 377-nucleotide long non-coding RNA. RefSeq lists it as uncharacterized. The record is from RefSeq and is a predicted model, not a curated record. The transcript has 2 exons. Lineage: Eukaryota; Viridiplantae; Streptophyta; Magnoliopsida; Solanales; Solanaceae.